UAAUGACGAAAUGUCUCA
RNAcentral lists this microRNA (18 nucleotides) under Schmidtea mediterranea. RNAcentral describes it as "sme-miR-2178". The record is from miRBase by way of RNAcentral. Lineage: Eukaryota; Metazoa; Platyhelminthes; Tricladida; Dugesiidae.